GUGAAAACUUUUGGUUUCAGAAUGUCCCCGCGCCAAGUUUACACAUAGUAAAAAUUCUAACAAGCAAUAUUUCAAAUGGGAGAUUUCGGGAUGAAUGAAAAAAAUCAUCAUCUGCCUUCCUGAUGUAUUCUCACUGUUUUGCUGCCAAGUUUCGGCAUCUUCAGUUUUGUGGUUUGAUGUAGCAUUACUGCACGCCAGAGAAUGACUGGAGUUCAAUCAAGGGUUUGUGUAUGUGACCAGAGUUAAGUAGUGAAAUCUUGGUGACUGUCAUUAGCUCAAAUCUGAAACUUAAAAUGGAAAUGAAGAUGGAAGACAAGUCAUAUCCCUGUGAAUAUUGUGAAUGUAAAAUACAUUUGACGACACAUACUGGAGAAAAACUGUAUUCUUGUGAAAUUUGUGAAAAGUCAUUUUCUCAGAGUGCAAAUUUGAUAGUCCAUUUGAGGACACACACAAAAGAAAAAACAUAUUCUUGUGAAAUUUGUAAACAGUCCUUUUCUCAGAGUGGAAGUCUAAAGAGACAUUUGAGGACACAUACAAAAGAACAACCAUAUUUUUGUGAAAUUUGUAAAAAGUCAU
Uloborus diversus is the source of this 576-nucleotide long non-coding RNA. RefSeq lists it as uncharacterized. The transcript has 3 exons. NCBI's taxonomy places the organism in Eukaryota, Metazoa, Arthropoda, Arachnida, Araneae, Uloboridae. The record is from RefSeq and is a predicted model, not a curated record.